AGGACGACGCUGGCGGCGUGCUUAAUACACGCAAGUCAACUUGACUUUAGAUAGCAAUAUCGAAAAGUAGGGUGGCGCACGGGUGCGUAACGCGUAGGUAAUCUGCCCUGAGGUCUGACAUAACCCGUCGAAAGGCGGGCUAACAUCAGAUGAUAUAUAAUCACGACAUCGUGGAAAUAUCAAAUCUUCGGAGCCUUGGGAUGAGCCUGCGUCUGAUUAGGUAGUUGGCGGAGUAAUAGCCCACCAAGCCUACGAUCAGUAGCUGGUCUGAGAGGAUGAUCAGCCACACUGGAACUGAGACACGGUCCAGACUCCUACGGGAGGCAGCAGUAAGGAAUAUUGCUCAAUGGGGGGAAACCCUGAAGCAGCAACGCCGCGUGAAGGAUGAAAUACUUUUGUAUGUAAACUUCUGUAAGAUGGGAAAAAUAUUCUCCUCGGGAGAAUUGAUUGUACCAUCAGAGUAAGCCCCGGCUAACUACGUG
Molecule: ribosomal RNA, 482 nt
Filed under: uncultured bacterium
Lineage: Bacteria
Description: bacterial SSU rRNA
Rfam family: Bacterial small subunit ribosomal RNA
Source: RNAcentral